UACGUAGGGUGCAAGCGUUAAUCGGAAUUACUGGGCGUAAAGCGUGCGCAGGUGGUUUGACAAGACCGACGUGAAAGCCCCGGGCUCAACCUGGGAACUGCGUUGGUGACUGUCUGACUAGAGUGUGGCAGAGGGGGGUGGAAUUCCGCGUGUAGCAGUGAAAUGCGUAGAGAUGCGGAGGAACACCGAUGGCGAAGGCAGCCCCCUGGGCUAACACUGACACUCAUGCACGAAAGCGUGGGGAGCAAACAGG
Molecule: ribosomal RNA, 253 nt
Filed under: uncultured bacterium
Lineage: Bacteria
Description: partial 16S ribosomal RNA
Rfam family: Bacterial small subunit ribosomal RNA
Source: RNAcentral